Molecule: long non-coding RNA, 6657 nt
Filed under: Solanum tuberosum (potato)
Lineage: Eukaryota; Viridiplantae; Streptophyta; Magnoliopsida; Solanales; Solanaceae
Description: long non-coding RNA (STUB_LNC004522)
Source: RNAcentral
AAAAUUGUGAAAAACAAAAAAAAAUUACGACAGCCAAGGAAAAUGGGAACUCAUCUUCUCCAAGGUUUAACAUGAAGAGCUCUGACCAACAACCGCCGGAGAGAUCGAAAUCCAGCUUCCCAAUGUCGCAUCUCCUCCAUUUCACCUGCUACCAGCUUUCUCCAAGGUAAGUCUCUAACCUUUUACUCAUCUUCGCCAUCUGGAGAUCAUAAUCUAUGGAGAUCGCCCCUCAAUCUGAGAAGAGCAUCUCUUGGGUGCCAUUUUUUAUUUUUGUGCUGCUGUAAAAUGCUUCAGGUAAGACUUGAUAAACAUUGAAUUAGAGUUCUUUUUCUCUAGUCUAAUCUUUGAUGGGUUGAAUCCCACAAAGAGAUUAAUACCACCAUCUAAAUUUUAGACCUUUGAAUAAAACAACUAACUCCAUUUUGGUUAUAUGAUUUAUGUGCCUGCAAAACCUUUUGGAGAGAUUGGAUAUGUUGAGGAAGCAAAUAGGAGCUAUCAACAAUCGAAUACACCACUAACAACUUUCGAGUCUUGGUUUUGUAUCACUUCAGACACCUCUAUGCUCUCACCAGGUGCAUGAUACUGUUAACCAACCGAAAUAGCUUCAGACUUAAAAGUUUGCUAUAGUUGUGCUUCAAUUGUGAACUCUUGUGCUUCUUAUCAAAUACUUGUAUAUCUGACUAUUAUUUGAUAUUUGUGACUGGUGAGAAUCUAAUUAGAACUCGGAAAGUCUGUCUGCUUGAUCCUUAAGUAUGGAGUGUUACAUUUGUCAAAAUUUAUUAUCUUCUUGGCUGCUGUUGGGACUUCCUGAAAAGAAUUGAACUCAUAAGUACCUGCAUUAACAGAAACUAGGUUAGCAAAAAAAUCAGCAAGAGUAUUUCCCUCCCUGAAGGAGUGUUGUACUCUUACUGAAAUAAUAUUUCAGAUUCUAUUAAUGGAGUUGACCUCCAUUGUCACACUCAAGGGUGAAUCCCACUCUCCAUUAAGAAUAUUAAUCAUCGACAAUGAAUUAGUCUCAAUAACUAUUUGAUGAAAAUGUUUAUCUAAGCAGUAUUGCAGACCCUCUCUAAUAGCAGUUGCCUCAGCCACCAAGUUAUAAGAAUCAGUCAACUUCACACCCUUUGCCCCUACUAGAUUACCAUUAUGAUCUAUCUCACAGAAAGAAGCUGAACUAGGACCAGGUUUACCCUUAGAAGCCCCAUCAGUGUUACAUUUUACCAAUCCCGCAGGAGGAGGAGACCAUCGGACAAUUGUGUGACGGAAACUUGGCCUAUAGUUAUCAAGUUGAGCAACUAUCUGAGGCCAAGUUUGUGGACUAUUCAUAACCCAAUUAAACCUCAAUUUGACUAACUUAUAAAUGUGAGAAUUAAUUUCCGAGAUGAUCUUGCCUCUAGAGUAAGAGCCUCCAUGUAAUACUGUGUUUCUCCUCUUCCAAAGAACCCAUAAAAUGAGAAUUGGAAUGGCCUGAUACACCUAUUUUUGUGAGUCAUUUCCAUGAGUAUCCCACCAUUUUUUCAAUGUCUUCUUCACCUGUAUUAGAGGGCCUGCAAUCCCUGCUGCCCAAGUGUAGUACCUCACACACUAGAGGCCAAUGAACCUUGUAAGAAAAGGUGUUCAAUAGUUUCUCUAGUAGGAUCUGAGCAACAAGUACAACGUUGAGAAAUAUUAGGAUUCCAGGUAGCCAGGACUGGUGCGACGGGAACUUUAGCAGUCCAAACUCUCCAACCAAAGAAACUGAUCUUGAAAGGUAAGCCUUUCACCCAAAUAUGUUUAAAAGCGUCUUCAGGUGCUGCCCUGUUUCUUAUAAUUUCCCAGGCACUCUUCACAGUAAAUUUACCAGAACUAGUUCGUAGACACCAAGGGUUAUCCACCUGAUUAGAUUGCCUCACAUGACCCAUACAAAGCCUCACAUUUUCAACAACAUCAGGAGGUAAAAGAUCAUUCAUAGUGUCAUAAUCCCAACCAUUUUCACUCAAAAAAUAUCAAUGUUCGUUAAGGGACGACAACUUUGUAGUUUUUAUUGUUGAAGAAAUAAUGGACCAAGCUUGGUCCAAUUAUCAUACAAAUUACUAGAUGUACCUUCUUUAGGUUAACACCAUAGAUUGCUCUACUAUACCUCUCAUACUGAGAAUGUGUUUCCAUACCUAAGAACCACCGUUCCACUGCACAAGAGUUGGAAUUUGUUUCCUGCAAUAUUUGUUCCAAAAGAAAUUGGACCACAAGGAUAUUUGAGUCCUGAAUCUCCACCAAAGCUUUGAAUACAUGUCCUGUGAAACAUCAAAUAAUGACCUGAACCCAAAACCUCCUUCUAUCUUAGGGAGACAUACAUUAUCCCAAGAAGCCCAAAGCUUGCUCCUGCUAGAGUCCUUAUUUCCCCAAUUAUCAAUGUUUACAUUAUUCUUUGUAAAGAAUAUCUAUGGGCUGAUGCAAAAAUAAUAGUAUCACCGGCAUAAGAAAGAUGAUUCAAAUUUGCGCUCCACUUUGGUAAUCCAUAACCAACAUAUUUUCCAUCCUCAAAUAAAGAGUUUAAUGCCCUAGAUAAAACCUCAGCUGAAAUAAUGAACCAAGCAGGCGAUAGAGGAUCUCCGUACUUCACUCUUCUAGUUGAAUUAAAGAAACCAUGAGGUUGUCCAUUAAUCAAAAUAGAGUACCAAUUAUUGGAUAUCAGCCUCCAAAUCAAAUCUACAAAAUCAUUUGAGAAACCCAUCCUUCGUAUAACUUUCAUCAAGAAAAACCAGGACACCCUAUCAUAAGCCUUUGACAUAUCAAGCUUCAUCACCACAUUAGCUGGUUUCCCUCUCUUUCUAAUAUUUGUAACUAUAUCCUGAUUGAGAAGUACAUUCUCAAUGAUACUUCUGCCUUUAAAAAAACCUGAUUGAUUGCUGGAAAUCAAGUUAGGAAGAAGAGCUUCUCGUCUAUCAUGAACGAUUUUGGACAGGAUUUUAUUAAUAAAGUUACUCAAGCUAAUAGGUCUCAUGUCAGAGAAAGUUUGAAUAUGCUCUUUCUUUGGUAAGAGAACCAAAUUAGUACGAGUGAUGGACUUAGGUAGGGUGUCACCGCAAAAAAAGUCUUGAACCAUCUUUAAAAUGUCAGGACCAACGUUUUCCCAACAACUUUGAUAGAAUCUCCUUGUCAAACCAUCAAGACCACUAGCACUGUCCCUAUUUAACUUUAAAAAAAAAACUCUUUUGACUUUCUCUAAAUCUGGUUAUCUGCAUAGAUUUGAAUUAUUCUCAACACUGAUGCUUUCAAGUAUGUGCCUUCGUAGUGAAAGAUCUGUAACAUCUCUCUCUUGAGUGAAUUGAUUAUGAAAAAAAUCAAUGGCUUCUUUAGAGAUAUCUUGUUCCUCCUCUAACCAACUACCCUGGCUAUUUUGAAUCCUAUGCACAUGUAAUCUUUCUCUUCUUCCCCUUGCAAGACUAUGAAAGAAACUUGUAUUCCUAUCCCCAUACUCAAACUAAUCAUACCCAGCCUUCUGUUGCCAAAAGAUCUCUUCAUAGUGAAGAUAUCUUUUGUGCUCUGCUUGGGCCCUUUGCAUGACUAACCUAUUUUCAGGGGAUGGUAUCUCUCCAAAUAACUUUUCUUUGAUUUUGACUAUGUCCUCUCUAAUAAUAAGUUGAUUGAAUAUAUCUCCAUAUGCAUCCUUGCUCCAUUUUGAUAAAGCAAUUUAAAAUUCUUAAUCUUUUCCUUGAACUCCAAAAAAGGAUUUUGAGAACUUCCAAUCAGGUUUUGCCUAACUACCUCCUUGAAUGAUUCAUGAUCAGUCCAAAAUUUGAGAAACUUAAAAGUUUUCUAUGUCUGGUAGCAACAACUUCACAAGUAAGGAGCAUAGGGGCAUGAUCAGACCCACUUCUUGAUAAAUGUUCUACCUCCGUAUGAUUGUCUUAUCUUUGCAUAUCCUAAUUAAUAAGUGUUCUGUCUAAUCUUUCAAAAAUGCAAUCAUUACCAGCCCUUCCAUUCCACCAUGUAAAAGGACUCCCUUUGCAAUAAACUUAUGAUAGAUCACAAGUUGCGAUACAACAGUCAAAAUCUUCAUGAUCAACAUCUAAGACGGGUAGCCCACCUAUAUUUUCUUCCUCGUUUAAGACUAUAUUAAAAUCACCCCAAUCAACCAACGCUUGUCCAUACCAUCUGCAACUCGAUAUAGAUCUUCCCACAAGUUCAUUUUCUGCAUUGCAUCACACUUAGCAUAGACAAUCGUAACAUAAAAGCUCUGGAGUUGUUGUUCAUUAUCUUUGACAACAAUGAUGUCAAUAUCUUGAUUAGUAAAUAUCCAGAUCUUCCCAUUGCAAUUAGAAUUGGCUAGAGGCUUUUUCAAUCUUCUCAUGUAUUUAUUAAUAUAUCUAACAUGCUGAAAAGGUUCAAUUAGUGCAACAAAUGUAAAAUGGUGAAACUUAUGUAGCAUCUGAACCCUUUGAAAAGCCUGUUGUGACUUUACUGAUCUAAUAUUCCAAAUAAAGGCCUUCAUCAUUAAUAAGAUAUAACUUUAUUUCUCUUUGGCUGCACUCUGAUAGGUUGGGUACUCUCACCAAUAUCCUGCUUCUUUCCUUUUCUAGUUGUUUUCAUCACCCUUGGAGAUAAAUACCUUUCUCUAGAUAUAUGAUCUAAAAAAGUACCACUGUCAUCUGUCUCCUUUGCUGCUAUUGAUUGAUUUGCCUCUCCUAGACUAUUAGUCUCUUCUUCUCCUAAUUUAUGUGUGACCUGCAAAACUCUAUUAGGAGAAUCUAAAUUCAAAGCUAGGACCUGAGAUUCAUCUGUCUGCACCACUGUAGGGACUUCUACCACUGCUAAAUUAAAAUUAUGAGUAUGCUCAUCUUGAUUUUCCUCAUGUUGGUUGUUGUAGUUGUUAUCCGUCAUUAAAUUACUAUCGUUAGUAUGACCUUGUAAUUGAAGUUUGUAGUUGUCGCUGAAGUUGCUGAACUCUGUGCCUUUUAACCCCUUUAAUUCUCCAUUAAUAACAACCUUCAUAUAUUUUGAUGAAGCUAAAGAUUUCUGCACUUGUUUGCUAUUAGUUUCUGCCUUAUUUUCCAUAGUAGGACUCUUAUCUUCAUUAAUUAUGGGCUGCAACUGACCUGAUUGUGCAUCUGCAGGGACUUCAGCAACAUUUUGGAGAUCAAUUUCCUUGUCUGGUACAACCCUCUUAUCCAUAGAAGAUGAUCCAACAACUUCGACUUUACCAAAACAUUUAUUGAUCCAAUCUUUAGUAGUAAUUUGUUGUUGACUUUGCCCAUUCUUAACUUUGUUUUCAUUUUGUUGAACUGCAUCAUUGUUGGAUUCAUUUUUACUACAUAAAUUGUCAUUUGCUCGUUCUUGAUUAGGCAAUCCAGUGGCAGAUUCUUUGCUUAGUGCCUCAAAACUAUUCUCUCCCAUAUGCUUUUCAAGAUUCUCAGAGCUUUGGACUUUAUUUUUAAAAUGUUUUUUAUGCUGGACAACUUUCCAAUUUCCGAGAUCACCAACCACUUUACCACUAGAGAGAAUCUUAACUUUGCCUGUUUGUAACUUGUGUAUUCUAGUCUCUUGAACUCUAUCAUUGUGCUCAUCAAUCACUAUUUUCUCUGUCAUAUGCUUUGGUUUAUUCUGAUAUCUACACUCUUCCUUGCUAUGUGCUUGCAUCUUGCAGUCAUCACAGUAUUUAGGAACAUAAUCAUAUCUUAUCUGAAUGAAUUCUAAACGUAUCUCUCCGGUGCUUUCAUUUUCAAUAUCCAUUUGGACUGACUUGGGAAAUGAACUAUGCAGGUCUACCAUUACCUUUACUCUUGCACAACUUGGCCUAGUCUUACUGAUCGUUGCUAGGUCCAAUUGAACUUGAUUUCCAACUGCUAAUGCUAAAUAGAAGAGGUACUCCUUAACAAAGAAAGUGGGCAGAAGAUUGGGAAAAGAAAUCCAUGCCAUAGCUUUUGUUGUUUCUUCAUUGAUCUUAAAUCUAGUAUCAUAUAGUAGUGUACGCAUCAAGUAAGAAUACCCAUCUUUAAACGUGAUAUAGAAUGCUCCUUUUGAAACUAGAUCUAUAAAAUCUUUUUGGUGGUUGAGACGAAUACGGAUGUGUCGAUUGCGAAAUAAACCAAUCUGAAACCCUCUUUUCACAUCACAUUGUUGUGGUAUAAUCCUCCUUAAUUCGUAUAGAUCAGACAAUUCAUAGGUGAAUUUUUCAAUGACCGCAUAUGGAAGGUUUUCGAUUCUAUUUAUUCUAUCAACUUCUUCUUCCGUCCAUUUUACAUGUGGUGUGUUUCCCACCAUUGUAACUUGUUUACGAGGUAUUGGAUCAACUGGUCGCACUGUCUCCAUGGGAACUAUAGUAUUUGCAUAUAUUUUCUCAGUAGGUAAUUUGGGAUCAACAUGACAAGGAUUUGUAGCUGAAGGUGUUAUUAGCGGGGGGAAGUCUACUAAAGAGAAUUGAAGGCAUGUCACCGAUUGUGACUUGCCACCGGCCGAUGUGCCCAUGCCCUUAGGUUACACUGCCGUCAUGUUGUCAUCCAGACGUCAGCUGAAACAAAUGCUCUAGCCACUGAGCUACAAAUGCCAGAUUUCUAGGAAUAAGAAUUUGUGUGAGAGUGAGAUUUUUAGGGUUAAAGUAAUAUUAGGAUUGUCUUCUUUUUUUGAAAAAAGUUGGGUUUAAUAUAGGGUUAAAGUAUUAUGAUAUUUAGGAUUCGUUUUAGG